RNAcentral lists this unclassified non-coding RNA (1451 nucleotides) under Hevea brasiliensis (rubber tree). The record is from RNAcentral. Lineage: Eukaryota; Viridiplantae; Streptophyta; Magnoliopsida; Malpighiales; Euphorbiaceae.
AUCCAAAGGAAAGAUUUAAGAAUUGAAGUGAGAAAAAAAGAGUCCUCAUCAUAAUAAUCCUCUCAUAAUAGACACAAACAAACAAACAAAUUGAGAAUAAAAAUAAAGAAAGACUAGAGAUGAACAAGCUUUUUUUUUUUUUUUUUCUUUUCGUUUUCUUCUUACCUUCUAUUUUUUUCAUUUUAAAUUUUUAAUAUGGAAAGGGCAGCCGGGGAACAAAAGUUGAGUUUACAAAUGCAAGAGUCCAAUAUGCCAGGAAAAAUAAACCAAGAACAAUGCAAACGAUCUUUUUAACUGCUUACUUGCGAGCUUCAGCCUUUUUCUGUUCUUUGGCAGCCUUCUCUUCUUCUCGUUUCCUAGCAGCUUCUGCCCUCUGUUGCCUUAUUAGGGCCAAGCGCUCUAAAUCUUUCUUAGCCUGUUCAGUUUUUCCUUGUUCCUGCAGCCUCAUAUAUUGUUCAUGAGCUUUUUGUUUUUCAAUCUCCUCUCUUUCACGCCUUGAGAGUUCGGUUGUUUUCCCAAUAUCAACAUCUCUAGCCUUCAAAUUCUUUGGUUUUACUAAAUUAGGGUUCUCAAUCUCAAUUAGUCCCUGGGCGCCUUUCCGCUUCUCUGAUUCUUCUUCAACUUCCUCUUCAGACUCGUCUUCUAACUCCGCUCUAGCUUCUUCCUGUUCCUGUUUAAAAGUACGAGGACGAGUAGAGGUACCUGCAACUGAGAUAUUUCAAAGCAUAAAAGGAAAUGCACACAAAUUGAGUUAAUAUCACAUGGAAAGUUUAAGUAUCACAUGAAAUAAAACAACACCACCUGAUUAUAAUUUAUCUUAACUUGGAAGGCAAAUUUCUUAACAACCCAUAGAAAACCCAAUCAGAUUCUUCACAUUUCUUGAGGAAACCAUGUAGCAAGAAUCUCCCACCAACACAUCAAGGGAAAAAAAGAAACUAUAAGCUUUUAAUUACUAUAUUGAAAAGCAAAAUACUUUUCACCCCAAAAUUUAAAAUUUACGAGAAAACUUAAUGAAUCUUUGGAGUUACACGCUAAAUUUCAUGAAAAACAAAUAUAUCAAUCACCGCAAGAAAAACAUUCUAUCAAAUCAUCAAUAGCCAUAAAAAUUGAUGAUUUAAAUAGUAUGGGAAAAUUUAAGAGGGUAUCAUAAUCCAUAUGUAAAGACUGCUCCAGCAAUUAAAAUGGCAAUAACAUAAUUCCUUUAAAAAGAAAACUGAAACAGCGAAAACAGAUACAGAUCUGAGAUUAUCCAGAAAACAUAAAAGCGUUGUGACUCGUCUAGGGAGGAGCAUAUUACUGAGUUCUUCAGGCGUGGAGAAGUGGCGAUGGCCGGUAGGCUUGCCCUUGAACUUUCCUCUUCCCAUCUCUCUUCUUCACAGUAGAGAGUGGAGUCUAGCAAGAAAGAAGAGCUUUGUUGUUCAUCAUGGUGUUGGAUAGCCAUCUUCUUCUGA